Molecule: non-coding RNA, 73 nt
Organism: Gorgonomyces haynaldii
Lineage: Eukaryota; Fungi; Chytridiomycota; Chytridiomycetes; Rhizophydiales; Gorgonomycetaceae
Source: the annotation of a GenBank genome assembly
GCCUUAAUAGCUCAGCUGGCAGAGCGCUUGCCUAGUAAGCAAGAGGUCCACGGUUCGAUUCCGUGUUGAGGCA